RNAcentral lists this ribosomal RNA (459 nucleotides) under uncultured bacterium. RNAcentral's name for it is "partial 16S ribosomal RNA". It matches the Rfam family "Bacterial small subunit ribosomal RNA", at positions 338 to 795 of the family's 1533-position model. The record is from RNAcentral.
CCUACGGGAGGCAGCAGUGAGGAAUAUUGGUCAAUGGGCGCGAGCCUGAACCAGCAAAGUCGCGUGAGGGAAGACGGUCCUAUGGAUUGUAAACCUCUUUUGUCGGGGAGCAAAAGACGCCACGCGUGGCGUUCCGAGAGUACCCGAAGCCAAAGCAUCAGCUAACUCCGUGCCAGCAGCCGCUGUAAUACGGAGGAUGCGAGCGUGAUCCGGUUUUAUUGGGUUUAAGGGGUGCGCAGGGGGAAGAUCAAGGCAGCGGUAAAAUUGAGAGGCUCAACCUCUUUGAGCGGUGGAAACUGGUUUUCUUGAGUGAGCGAGAAGUAUGCGGAAUGCGUGGUGUAGCGGUGAAAUGCAUAGAUAUCACGCAGAACUCCGAUUGCGAAGGCAGCAUACCGGCGCUCAACUGACGCUCAUGCACGAAAGUGUGGGUAGCGAACAGGAUUAGAUACCCGGGUAGUC